GAGCCGUGAGCGUCUCCAAGAUUUUAUCCGUAUUGCGUUCAUGUAUUUCUACCUUUGAUGUUUCCUAUGCAAAUAUUGAGAUGACUUCCACCUACUUAUCUUACUGCUGAGAGCCUGCAGAGAACAGUGGACUGACAGAGUUAAACAAGAUGGACUCUAAGACAGUGCUGCUAAUUCUGACUCUCUACUGUGCAGGUGUAAAUUGUCAGACUCUGACAGAAUCUGAACCAGUGGAUAAAAGGCCUGGAGAAUCCCAUAAAUUGACCUGCACAACCUCUGGAUUCACAUUCAGCAGCUACAGUAUGGAUUGGAUCAGACAGGCACCGGGCAAAGGGCUGGAGUGGAUUGCUCACAUCUGGGGCAGUGGUAGCAACACUUACUACUCUCAGUCAUUCAGAGGCCGGUUUACCAUCUCCAGAGACAACAGCAGACAGCAGCUGUAUCUGCAGAUGAACAAUCUGAAGACUGAAGAUUCUGCUGUUUAUUAUUGUGCUCGAGAGCCACAGUGACUGAAAGUGUUU
Molecule: non-coding RNA, 521 nt
Organism: Oreochromis niloticus (Nile tilapia)
Lineage: Eukaryota; Metazoa; Chordata; Actinopteri; Cichliformes; Cichlidae
Source: the annotation of a RefSeq genome assembly